RNAcentral lists this ribosomal RNA (246 nucleotides) under uncultured bacterium. RNAcentral's name for it is "partial 16S ribosomal RNA". It matches the Rfam family "Bacterial small subunit ribosomal RNA", at positions 37 to 270 of the family's 1533-position model. The record is from RNAcentral.
GGCAAGUGGCGGCGUGCUAUACAUGCAGUCGAGCGGACAGAUGGGAGCUUGCUCCCUGAUGUUAGCGGCGGACGGGUGAGUAACACGUGGGUAACCUGCCUGUAAGACUGGGAUAACUCCGGGAAACCGGGGCUAAUACCGGAUGCUUGUUUGAACCGCAUGGUUCAAACAUAAAAGGUUGCUUCGGCUACCACUUACAGAUGGACCCGCGGCGCAUUAGCUAGUUGGUGAGGUUACCGCUCACCA